This 1337-nucleotide long non-coding RNA is filed under the name Ursus maritimus (polar bear). Its description in RNAcentral is "lncRNA (ENSUMAG00000013184.1)". The record is from RNAcentral. Lineage: Eukaryota; Metazoa; Chordata; Mammalia; Carnivora; Ursidae.
CUGUGUCCGGAGGAACCGGGCUCUCACCGGUCAGGGCUGCCCUGCACCUGAGCGGGAGGCCCUGGAACAGGACACACGAGCCCUCUGCUCACUGCACAGGCAGGGACAAUGCCCUUGAAUGGGGAGAGGACGCUCCCGCACUGCGGUGGCCGGUGGAGGGACUAGAGCUGGAACAGAUGGAGCCCAGAAUACAGGGAACCGGAAAUGCAGGAUAGAAACUAUGAAGCGACAACAGAUGGGGCAGAGAGGUGACAUUCAGGCACCCGACCUGGUGGAGAAGUUCUCUGGCUCCCCCCGGGGAAGGCGGGACCCCAGGAACCGGCUGCACACUCACACAGGUGCCCCAGCAACGCACACUUCCGGUGGGCCUGUAUUUGUGGUUGCUGUUGUCCUACCAUUAUCACAUCCGAAAGCAGAGAGCUCGUUGCCCCGACCUGCAGUCUGGCCCAGUGUGCCCCACCGUCGUGGAGUAGAGAAUGGCCGGUAGUAUCACUAGCGGAGUCGCAAUACUGAGCUGUAGCCGCUCCGAUUUUAUCUAUUCUUUUUUUUUUUUUUUUGAUGUACAUUUAUGUUUUCUUUUUUAACGAUGAUGGACAAUGUCGAAGUGCACUUUUUCGGCGAAUUUCUCCUGCUUGUGGAGGAUUUUCUGUCUCUAGCAAUGGACUUGUGGGCUGUAGCCUAUGUGAGUCUUCAAGCUUUAACAGGUAUCGCUAAAUUGUUCCACAAAGAAAUUGCCCCAGUUCCCAUAACCACGUCUUGCAUAUUCCAGCAGGCUUUUCCUUGCGGGGCCUCAACUUUGAAAGCAGAAAACAGAAAUAUAAGCCAAGGAAAGAAAAUGGCUUUGAGAAUACAUUUAGUUAUCAGUGGAACUUACUGCAGACUGUUUACUUUCCAAUCUGAAGGCGUUUCUCCUGUGUGAUCACCUCCCUUCAAAUACAGUCAGUGCAUCGUGGUCAAGCCCUGGUGCCGAGGCGUUUGGGAGCGCGGCUGCAAAGGCGUCCAUGCGAAAGGACUUCUCUGAGACUUUGAAGAAGAACUGGGAAGCUAAGACAUACACUAUAGAUAAAAGUUAAUUAUUUAAAUAACGCGUUAGCAGAAAGAGAGAAAAGAUAUCACUGGAUAGUGCUGACUCAUCACUGAAUGAGUUGAGCCUACAUUAAUUCUAUAGAGGUUUCAAGACGGGGAAGUCAGAGCCUGUGUGAUUCCAAUUUGCCAUAGAAUGGUUUCCUAGCAACCAUCACUAGAUGAGAAUCAGCUAACUCUGCUUUUUGAAGCAGACUUUAGUCCCUUAGAAAAAAUGAGUUAAAUAAAUGCCAGCUUAAAGUAGAAUUUGACCA